Molecule: ribosomal RNA, 717 nt
Filed under: uncultured bacterium
Lineage: Bacteria
Description: bacterial SSU rRNA
Rfam family: Bacterial small subunit ribosomal RNA
Source: RNAcentral
UAUGCAACCUACCUAUGACAGGGAAAUAGUCAGAAGAAAUUUUGAGUAAUGUCCCAUACUAUUUAAUAUUAGCAUUAAUGUUAAAUCAAAACUUCGGUGGUCUUAGAUGGGCAUGCGUCUUAUUAGUUUGUUGGUAAGGUAAUGGCUUACCAAGACUACGAUAAGUAGGGGCCCUGAGAGGGGGACCCCCCACACUGGUACUGAGACACGGACCAGACUUCUACGGAAGGCAGCAGUAAGGAAUAUUGGACAAUGGGCGGAAGCCUGAUCCAGCCAUGCCGCGUGUGUGAAGAAGGCCUUUUGGUUGUAAAGCACUUUAAGCGAGGAGGAGGCUACCUAGAUUAAUACUCUGGGAUAGUGGACGUUACUCGCAGAAUAAGCACCGGCUAACUCUGUGCCAGCAGCCGCGGUAAUACAGAGGGUGCGAGCGUUAAUCGGAUUUACUGGGCGUAAAGCGUGCGUAGGCGGCUUUUUAAGUCGGAUGUGAAAUCCCCGAGCUUAACUUGGGAAUUGCAUUCGAUACUGGAAAGCUAGAGUAUGGGAGAGGAUGGUAGAAUUCCAGGUGUAGCGGUGAAAUGCGUAGAGAUCUGGAGGAAUACCGAUGGCGAAGGCAGCCAUCUGGCCUAAUACUGACGCUGAGGUACGAAAGCAUGGGGAGCAAACAGGAUUAGAUACCCUGGUAGUCCAUGCCGUAAACGAUGUCUACUAGCCGUUGGG